RNAcentral lists this long non-coding RNA (1633 nucleotides) under Homo sapiens (human). RNAcentral's name for it is "HSALNT0340069". Lineage: Eukaryota; Metazoa; Chordata; Mammalia; Primates; Hominidae. The record is from RNAcentral.
CAGAAGCUUCCCACACCUCUUUUAUAAGGUCACAAAUCUCACUGUGAGAGCCCUCAUGACCUAAUCACCUCCCAAAGUCCCUACCUUCUAAUAAUAUGAGCUUGGUGAUUAGAUUUCAACACAUAAAUUUUGGUAGGAUACAAACAUUCAGAUCAUAGCAGAUAUUCAUGUAUUAUAAUUUGUAUUUUGCCUCUUAAUUUUAAAGAUAAAUUUUGAAUUUUUAGAAGAAAAAUACGCAUUUGAAAGCACUAAAGUUUUAGAUUGGGGGACUUUUAAAUAUUUAUUUUAAUUUAAUUUAUUUGAUGAAAAUACAUUCAAAUUGUGUAUGCUUUAAAUACCAAUAUGUCUUAUUUUUAUAAUCCUUUGAGCAUUACGGUCAAUGAAAUAAAAUCUAGGCUUCUCAUUUUUAUUGGUAGUCAUGCUUUUUUAGUUUUGGCAAUAACAAAAACAAUAUGCUUAUCUUUAAUUAUUUAAAAAAAUUAGAGAACAGAUGAGAAAGUGACUGAAGAGAAUUAUUAUUAUGGUCCUAAUAGGGACUGUAGUUGGAAUUGGGUUUAUUCCAUUCUACUCCAGUGUAUUAGCCUGUUCUCAUGCUGCUAAUAAAGAUAUACCUGAGAUUGGGUAAUUUAUAAAGGAAAAAGGUUUAAUUGGCUCACAGUCACACUCUCCCCAGAGGCAAGCCAUACCAGAAACUAAAAUUCCUCUUCCACAAGGUGACAGUGUGUUGCAGACGUGUUUCCUACUGCUACAGAAAACUCAGCCUCUGCCUGGUCACAUGUGGCAUGGCAGCUUUGAGAACAGAAGCCUGUGAUGAAGCAACUACAGAAAAGAGCCAGGCUUUUGCAUCCUUAAUUUCUGUGCUCCCUUGCGCCAUGGGGAAUGAUCAGCUUUUCUGUGUCUUACAGGCUACUGAAAAGACCACCAUCUUCCCAGGUCUUUAUCUGGUUGUUCAGGACCCAUCUAGGGAGCGUCAGGGGUUGCACAAAAUGGAGAGGGUUUGGAGCAGCGGGGUGCAUCGUAGGAACUUGAGAUGAGGCUUUUGAAGGGCUGGAAGAAGUUGCGGCCUUAAUGCUAGGAAGGGUUUGGGGUUGGUGGAUUUUGUGGGGCCCCAUUGAGAUAUUAUGUUAAUACCUGGGAGAAAGGGGGAGCCCCUGGUUGUAGCAAAGGUUUUCAAGGCAGGGUCUGUGGUUAGCAGGGAGGUGCCCCAUUCAUGCACACUAUGGCAGGUGGUGGGGAGAAGUGCCCUCCUAGGAUAUCCAACCAACACUGGCAGUGGCAGCGACAUGACAAAAGGCGCACCCAAGACAACCACCAUGGGUUAAGGAACAGGCUGCAUCUUUAUUUUUCAGGACCAGCUAAGCUUCCUGUCCUUGUGCCAGUCACUGAAGGGAGCAGAGGGAGCCUGGGCUUAGGGGGCAGGGGAGGAAUAAGCACUCAGAGCUGGGCAUGAGUCAGCUGGAAAGAAACAAAGAAGCGUGUCACUGCCCACACCUUUAAUAAGUGCCUUGGAAUGCUCCCGGCUCUCACAGUGGCGCAUGUUUUACUCUGCAUCCCAUCUGUGGCUUCUAUUGUCUUCUCACACUGUGGGACACUUAAGGAGAUGUGACAGAUGGCUGUGUGUGUGCUCCGUCCC